CACAGUCGGCCCUCUCGUUGUUGUCGGUGACAGCGGUGGUGGCGGCGGCGGCUCACUUUACGACGAGCCGUCGGCUCAGCAGGUCGAACGCCUUGUUCAGGGCCAUAGAAAAAGCUCUCUGGAAGAAGGAAAGACCCCGUGAACAGACUAACAAUCAGGCAGAUGAAAACUUGGCCAUCUGAGUACAGCGGAACUGACAUGAAUUCAAGUGGACCACAGCCACCUAUUCUAUGAAGAAGCCGCAGACACGACCAGAGCAUCUGUCAAACACUGCUGGCUGGAAACAAAAAAGAGCUUCCUGGUGGACUCAAGUCCUUUUCCUCAAGUAAACAACAUCUGCAGGCAGCGGUACCUUCUGUGGCCCUGGCCAGCUGGGGGCCUGGCUAGGUGAGGCGGAGAGGACCGGGGCCCUGUUGAUGUCACCCGGUGACAGAGAGCUCCUUCCUCACCAGCUGUGGAGCUAAAGCUGCCUCUCUGACUGCAG
Molecule: long non-coding RNA, 484 nt
Organism: Sebastes umbrosus (honeycomb rockfish)
Lineage: Eukaryota; Metazoa; Chordata; Actinopteri; Perciformes; Sebastidae
Exons: 3
Source: RefSeq, a predicted model, not a curated record